This 2907-nucleotide long non-coding RNA is filed under the name Homo sapiens (human). Its description in RNAcentral is "HSALNT0399392". The record is from RNAcentral. Lineage: Eukaryota; Metazoa; Chordata; Mammalia; Primates; Hominidae.
GAAUCCAGCCAUCAUCUGAGGAAGCAGUUCAUGUCGCAGCAAAGGAAGUUCUGUUCUCACCACAGCCCCUAUCUUCUGGAAGCAGCUGUCGUAAUUGAAAGGGUGCAUUUCUCACCUGCACUGUGGUCCAGGAAACUCAAGUCACCGUCCCCACCAUGUUCUUCCUGACUUCGAAGCAGUCUGGUGACCCCAGGCAGGAACUGACUAGCAUGAGAGUCUUGAUGCAGGAGAAUUUUUGAAGAAAUUCAGAAGCAGAACCGAAAGGAGGAGAGAAGGUGGAGGUGGGAAAGCUGACAGCUGGAGACUGGGGAGGGCCCUUUGAGGCCUGGGAGAGAAUAUGUGGAUGGUGGGGAGACCUUUCCCAGCAUUUUGGUAAAGGCUCCGUCAGUGCCCUGUCCUCGUGUUGGGGUCCCCCUCUCACAAAGUAUCUUUUCCACCUUUAGCCACCUCCACCCUGUCCACUAACCUUCAGUGGGAACAGCAGAUGCAACUGGCGGGGCUGAAGGUCAGUGGGAACUCCAGGGCCCCAGAGAAGGCCUGCACCACACUGAGCAGGAUCCAGGAGAGUGGAGAAGGGAGGUCGAGGUCCCUGUUAGAGGAGGGUGUGAAGGGGUCAAGAUGAAGGAGCAGCAGGACCUGAGGCCCUCCCUCUGCACACAGACUUUCUCUGGAAACAGCAGGCAGUGAGAUGGAGUGAGAACUGGAAUAAGGCAAGGAAUAUUGCUGAGAUGGUUCUCAAAUCAAUGGAGAGAGAUGUCCGUGGAUGAAUCACAAAGGGAGGGAAUGGGUGCAAAGGCCUCACUGAGAUCCAAUGACAGCAGAAGCUGCCAGGAUCUGACGUAAACCAGUUUGGUUGAAGUGUUGGGGGAGGCUAUAUGACCACAUUUUGUUUCUAUUGGCACAAUUCCAUACAUGGAAAAUGUCAUGAGACUCAAAAAUGGGUUCAGCAGAAGCUCAAAAAUAUGCUACAAAAUUCAGGAAGAAGCUAAAAUAUUAUCAGAUUAUUUUAUAAAGGACACAACUAGUCAGGAACCUUUUGAAAACACCAGCAUGCAUCAUCCAAAGAAGUAGAAUCCAAUUAAAAAAAAAAAAAAGACUGGGAGGAGUACAUCACAAAGGAGGGUGAGAUUUGGGAAGACAGUUACUCUAAGACCCUGUGAGCAAACUGCACCUGAUUCCAGAAAGACAGUUGGAGUCGAGGAGAGAAUGAAGCAACUUUACUGGCUGGGUUGAAGCCUACCCUAUCAGAACGGAAUAAGGCUAAUGCGGUUAUCAAGGUUCUCUUGAAGGAAAUAAUCCCCUGGUUUGGGUUGCCCCAAAGCCUCCAAAGUGAUAAUCGCUUGUCUUCUGCCUCCCAAAUAACUCAAAGGGUUGCUAAGGCUCUCAGAAUUAAAUACUAUUUACACUCAGCAUGGAGGCCUCAAUCCUCAGGGAAAGUAGAAAGGGCUAAUCAAACUCUAAAACUGGCAUUAGCUAAGCUAUGUCAGGAAACAUCAGAAACUUGGAUCAACUUACUGCCCAUAGCCCUCUUAAGAAACCAUUAUUCUCCAAGAGCAAAAAUUAAUAUAAGCCCAUAUAAAAUGUUAUAUGGGAGGCCAUUUUAACUAAUGAUCUAAUUACUGAUCCAGAAACGGCUGAGUUAAUAAAAUACCUAGUUAACCUAGGACAGUUUCAGCAGGUCUCGCAAGAGUUUGGAACUCAAAGGCUCCCCGCACCAGGAACUAACCAGCAAACCAAGGUCAGGCCAGGAGAUAAGGUUUAAGCCUGCAACAUCUGAAGCCCUGGACCUGGAACCGGAGACUCCCACCAGCCACUAUACCUGUGAACCCGUAGAAGACCUGAACUACCUAUUUAAAAGACAGUCAAAAGAUAAGUAAAUGCCUACCAAUUUUCCCUGGUGUAAAAUGUUAACUGAUUUUUGCUCUCUCACUUACAGAUGUUUGUAUAAGGGUUUCAGCCAAUUUUGGAACAAAAUUCAAAAUCAGGCCAAAAUACUUACCUGUUGUGACUAGAUCAAGCCAGCUGUACCUUUUAUAACCACGUACAAGGCUUGCCGCAACCCAUGGAUACCCACCUAAAUACUUAGGAAUAGAGAGCCAUGAUCCUCAGUAGGCAGGGACAAUGCCCAUGACCAGUAGAAAGUAGCUACAGAAAACUGAUCUUCAGCCCUUUUGCCUCCCAUAAAGAUUUAUGGGGAUCAUAUCUCUCAGAGGGAAAUGAGGCAGGAGAAUAGGGAAUUAGGGUAACCAGGGUUUCAGCUGGUGCAGCCAGUGCCGCAGGGGUGGAAGAACAGCAGGUGCAGCCAGUUCAAAUGAGCAGAAGAACAGCAGGUGCAGCAUAUAGGCCACAUCCUUGCUCCCAUGAUAACAAGCCACUUCAGCCUCCGAUUGGUCUCAGGCCAAUCCUUUAUGAGGUGUGGUCAAUUGGAGGCCUCUGAAGGGCACUGAGAGGUGUUGCCGGGUUUUUUCUUUAAUAAAAACCGUAAUUGAGGGGGCUCUUGAGCAGCCGCUUGCUCAAGCCCAAUCCCACUCUGAAUUUUCUUCAAUAAAUCUGUGCCCACACUGGCAUUUUGUUCAGUUCCUUGCCCAAUACACCAAGAACAGCAGGUGCAGCAUACAGGCCACAUCCUGGCUGGACAACUCACAUUUAGGACACUCUCUCCGGCAACAGGUGACAUCAUCCUCUUAGCCUGUCAAAAUGUUGGUAUUACAGGCAUGAGCUGCCCUGCCUGGCCUAUAACUUUUUUUGCUGAAAAAUAUUCCCUUGUAUGCAGGUAUUACAUUUAGCCAUUCAUCAGCUGGUGGACAUUUGAACUGUUUCCACUUUUGUUUACUAUGAAUAAAGCUGCUAUGAACACCUGUGUAAAGUUUUGCAUAGACAUGUUUUCAUUUCUGUAUAUAUAUCUAA